UACGUAGGGUCCAAGCGUUGUCCGGAAUUACUGGGUAUAAAGGGUGCGCAGGCGGAUCUGUGCGUCGGAGGUUAAAGACCCGGGCUCAACCCGGGAAGUGCCUUCGAUACGGCGGAUCUUGAGUGUGAGAGAGGAUAGUAGAAUUCCUGGUGUAGCGGUGAAAUGCGUAGAUAUCAGGAGGAAUACCAGUGGCGAAGGCGGCUAUCUGGCUCAUAACUGACGCUUAGGCACGAAAGCGUGGGGAUCAAACAGG
RNAcentral lists this ribosomal RNA (253 nucleotides) under uncultured bacterium. Its description in RNAcentral is "partial 16S ribosomal RNA". It matches the Rfam family "Bacterial small subunit ribosomal RNA", at positions 524 to 776 of the family's 1533-position model. The record is from RNAcentral.